GAUGAACGCUGGCGGCGUGCCUAAUACAUGCAAGUCGAGCGAGCGGACGAGAAGCUUGCUUCUCUGAUGUUAGCGGCGGACGGGUGAGUAACACGUGGAUAACCUACCUAUAAGACUGGGAUAACUUCGGGAAACCGGAGCUAAUACCGGAUAAUAUUUUGAACCGCAUGGUUCAAAAGUGAAAGACGGUCUUGCUGUCACUUAUAGAUGGAUCCGCGCUGCAUUAGCUAGUUGGUAAGGUAACGGCUUACCAAGGCAACGAUGCAUAGCCGACCUGAGAGGGUGAUCGGCCACACUGGAACUGAGACACGGUCCAGACUCCUACGGGAGGCAGCAGUAGGGAAUCUUCCGCAAUGGGCGAAAGCCUGACGGAGCAACGCCGCGUGAGUGAUGAAGGUCUUCGGAUCGUAAAACUCUGUUAUUAGGGAAGAACAUAUGUGUAAGUAACUGUGCACAUCUUGACGGUACCUAAUCAGAAAGCCACGGCUAACUACGUGCCAGCAGCCGCGGUAAUACGUAGGUGGCAAGCGUUAUCCGGAAUUAUUGGGCGUAAAGCGCGCGUAGGCGGUUUUUUAAGUCUGAUGUGAAAGCCCACGGCUCAACCGUGGAGGGUCAUUGGAAACUGGAAAACUUGAGUGCAGAAGAGGAAAGUGGAAUUCCAUGUGUAGCGGUGAAAUGCGCAGAGAUAUGGAGGAACACCAGUGGCGAAGGCGACUUUCUGGUCUGUAACUGACGCUGAUGUGCGAAAGCGUGGGGAUCAAACAGGAUUAGAUACCCUGGUAGUCCACGCCGUAAACGAUGAGUGCUAAGUGUUAGGGGGUUUCCGCCCCUUAGUGCUGCAGCUAACGCAUUAAGCACUCCGCCUGGGGAGUACGACCGCAAGGUUGAAACUCAAAGGAAUUGACGGGGACCCGCACAAGCGGUGGAGCAUGUGGUUUAAUUCGAAGCAACGCGAAGAACCUUACCAAAUCUUGACAUCCUUUGACAACUCUAGAGAUAGAGCCUUCCCCUUCGGGGGACAAAGUGACAGGUGGUGCAUGGUUGUCGUCAGCUCGUGUCGUGAGAUGUUGGGUUAAGUCCCGCAACGAGCGCAACCCUUAAGCUUAGUUGCCAUCAUUAAGUUGGGCACUCUAAGUUGACUGCCGGUGACAAACCGGAGGAAGGUGGGGAUGACGUCAAAUCAUCAUGCCCCUUAUGAUUUGGGCUACACACGUGCUACAAUGGACAAUACAAAGGGCAGCGAAACCGCGAGGUCAAGCAAAUCCCAUAAAGUUGUUCUCAGUUCGGAUUGUAGUCUGCAACUCGACUACAUGAAGCUGGAAUCGCUAGUAAUCGUAGAUCAGCAUGCUACGGUGAAUACGUUCCCGGGUCU
This 1372-nucleotide ribosomal RNA is filed under the name uncultured bacterium. RNAcentral describes it as "bacterial SSU rRNA". It matches the Rfam family "Bacterial small subunit ribosomal RNA", at positions 28 to 1381 of the family's 1533-position model. The record is from RNAcentral.